Molecule: ribosomal RNA, 750 nt
Filed under: uncultured Rhizobium sp.
Lineage: Bacteria; Pseudomonadati; Pseudomonadota; Alphaproteobacteria; Hyphomicrobiales; Rhizobiaceae
Description: bacterial SSU rRNA
Rfam family: Bacterial small subunit ribosomal RNA
Source: RNAcentral
AGAGUUUGAUCCUGGCUCAGAUUGAACGCUGGCGGCAUGCCUUACACAUGCAAGUCGAACGGUAACAGGUUAAGCUGACGAGUGGCGAACGGGUGAGUAAUAUAUCGGAACGUGCCCAGUUGUGGGGGAUAACUGCUCGAAAGAGCAGCUAAUACCGCAUACGACCUGAGGGUGAAAGCGGGGGAUCGCAAGACCUCGCGCAAUUGGAGCGGCCGAUAUCAGAUUAGGUAGUUGGUGGGGUAAAGGCCCACCAAGCCAACGAUCUGUAGCUGGUCUGAGAGGACGACCAGCCACACUGGGACUGAGACACGGCCCAGACUCCUACGGGAGGCAGCAGUGGGGAAUUUUGGACAAUGGACGCAAGUCUGAUCCAGCCAUGCCGCGUGCGGGAAGAAGGCCUUCGGGUUGUAAACCGCUUUUGUCAGGGAAGAAAAGGGCGACUCUAAUACAGUUGCCUCAUGACGGUACCUGAAGAAUAAGCACCGGCUAACUACGUGCCAGCAGCCGCGGUAAUACGUAGGGUGCAAGCGUUAAUCGGAAUUACUGGGCGUAAAGCGUGCGCAGGCGGUUAUGCAAGACAGAGGUGAAAUCCCCGGGCUCAACCUGGGAACUGCCUUUGUGACUGCAUGACUAGAGUACGGUAGAGGGGGAUGGAAUUCCGCGUGUAGCAGUGAAAUGCGUAGAUAUGCGGAGGAACACCGAUGGCGAAGGCAAUCCCCUGGACCUGUACUGACGCUCAUGCACGAAAGC